UACAGAGGUCUCAAGCGUUGUUCGGAUUCAUUGGGCGUAAAGGGUGCGUAGGCGGCGCCGUAAGUCAGGUGUGAAAUUUCGGAGCUUAACUCCGAAACUGCAUUCGAUACUGCGGUGCUUGAGGACUGGAGAGGAGACUGGAAUUCAUGGUGUAGCAGUGAAAUGCGUAGAGAUCAUGAGGAAGACCAGUGGCGAAGGCGGGUCUCUGGACAGUUCCUGACACUGAGGCACGAAGGCCAGGGGAGCAAACGGG
This 253-nucleotide ribosomal RNA is filed under the name uncultured bacterium. RNAcentral's name for it is "partial 16S ribosomal RNA". It matches the Rfam family "Bacterial small subunit ribosomal RNA", at positions 524 to 776 of the family's 1533-position model. The record is from RNAcentral.